GGACAUUCUGCAAAAAACUCUAUGACUUCCGGCUUGUUCUGCUUGAUAGAGAAGAGAGGAUAACAGAAUUGCCACUGGACAAUGGUGUCCGAGCUUUGUUGAGGGGCUGCACCAAACUUCGGAGGUUUGCUCUGUACUUGAGACCAGGAGGGCUCUCAGAUGCAGGUCUCGGCUACAUUGGACAGUGCAGUGGAAACAUCCAAUACAUGCUUCUCGGUAAUGUUGGGGAAACUGAUGAUGGAUUGUUCAGUUUCGCAUUGGGAUGCGUAAACCUGCGGAAGCUUGAACUCAGGAGUUGUUGCUUCAGCGAGCGAGCUCUGGCCCUCGCCAUACUACGCAUGCCUUCCCUGAGGUACGUAUGGGUUCAGGGCUACAAAGCGUCUCAAACCGGCCGAGACCUCAUGCUCAUGGCGAGGCCCUUCUGGAACAUAGAGUUUACACCUCCCAGUUCCGAGAACGCAGGUCGGUUGAUGGAAGAUGGGGAACCUU
RNAcentral lists this long non-coding RNA (489 nucleotides) under Sorghum bicolor (sorghum). Its description in RNAcentral is "long non-coding RNA (SBIC_LNC016675)". The record is from RNAcentral. Lineage: Eukaryota; Viridiplantae; Streptophyta; Magnoliopsida; Poales; Poaceae.